UUGGGCGUGCCUCCACCCACGCCGGCGUCGGCGGGCGUAUUUCGCCUCACAGUAGGUCGCCGCGACCCGUUGCUUUUGGGGACGUCGAAGGCCCGGACGGAUUGGUACCCUACCGGCUGGGGAUGCGGCUUCGGCUUCUCCUCUUGUCCGGUGGGCGAAACCGCCGGUGUCCUGGCUGCCCUGCGACGGUCGUAGAGACGAGCCCUCCCCUUCGGGGGGGCGGCUCUCGCGGCGUGCAAAAGGUCGGUGAUCCACCCGACCCGUCUUGAAACACGGACCAAGGAGUCUAACAUGUGUGCGAGUCAGUGGGCGCACUAAACCCAGAGGCGUAAUGAAAGUGACACGGGCUCGGCUGUCGCCUCGUGUGGCAGCCGGACUCAGGGCCGAUCCCUCACCGGUUGUCCUCGCCUCUCUCCCGCGUCUCGGUAAGCCGGGUGAGCUAUUUUCCCCGGCCGCUGCUGCGGGGCUCGGGGGAAGGCGGGGUGCGAUGGUGUCUGUAAAAAAGAGCCUGCUGUUGCAGGGGGGCGCAGGCCCGGGACUUGCCAGGACGCCGCGAGACUGUCACUUUGCUGUGAGGCUCUCGGGCCGAUCAGCGGGUCAUGCGUGCAGUCGGCAAGUACCAUGAGCAGACAUGUUGGGACCCGAAAGAUGGUGAACUAUGCCUGGCCAGGAUGAAGCCAGAGGAAACUCUGGUGGAGGUCCGUA
Molecule: ribosomal RNA, 705 nt
Filed under: Fallicambarus oryktes
Lineage: Eukaryota; Metazoa; Arthropoda; Malacostraca; Decapoda; Cambaridae
Description: partial 28S ribosomal RNA
Rfam family: Eukaryotic large subunit ribosomal RNA (bases 277-705)
Source: RNAcentral